RNAcentral lists this ribosomal RNA (552 nucleotides) under uncultured archaeon. RNAcentral's name for it is "bacterial SSU rRNA". It matches the Rfam family "Archaeal small subunit ribosomal RNA", at positions 66 to 619 of the family's 1478-position model. The record is from RNAcentral.
UCCUUCGGGAGCACCGGCGGACUGCUCAGUAACACGUGGACAACCUACCCUCGGGUGGGGGAUAACCUCGGGAAACUGAGGCUAAUACCCCAUAGGCCUCGGAUACUGGAAGGUUCCGAGACCGAAAGCUCCGGCGCCCGAGGAUGGGUCUGCGGCCUAUCAGGUAGUUGGUGGUGUAAAGGACCACCAAGCCUACGACGGGUACGGGCCCUGAGAGGGGGAGCCCGGAGAUGGACUCUGAGACACGAGUCCAGGCCCUACGGGGCGCAGCAGGCGCGAAACCUUCGCAAUGCGCGAAAGCGCGACGAGGGGAGCCCGAGUGCCCUUCCUUUCGGGAGGGCUUUUCUGGAGCCUAAAAAGCUCCAGGGAUAAGGGCUGGGCAAGACGGGUGCCAGCCGCCGCGGUAAUACCCGCAGCUCGAGUGGUGGCCACUAUUAUUGAGCCUAAAGCGUCCGUAGCCGGACCCGUAAAUCCCUGGGUAAAUCCUGGCGCUCAACGUCAGGAAUUCCGGGGAGACUGCGGGUCUUGAGACCGGGAGAGGCCGGANGUACU